This 750-nucleotide ribosomal RNA is filed under the name uncultured bacterium. Its description in RNAcentral is "bacterial SSU rRNA". It matches the Rfam family "Bacterial small subunit ribosomal RNA", at positions 55 to 796 of the family's 1533-position model. The record is from RNAcentral.
AUGCAAGUCGAACGGUAGCACAGAGAGCUUGCUCUCGGGUGACGAGUGGCGGACGGGUGAGUAAUGUCUGGGAAACUGCCUGAUGGAGGGGGAUAACUACUGGAAACGGUAGCUAAUACCGCAUAACGUCGCAAGACCAAAGUGGGGGACCUUCGGGCCUCAUGCCAUCAGAUGUGCCCAGAUGGGAUUAGCUUGUAGGUGAGGUAACGGCUCACCUAGGCGAUGAUCCCUAGCUGGUCUGAGAGGAUGACCAGCCACACUGGAACUGAGACACGGUCCAGACUCCUACGGGAGGCAGCAGUGGGGAAUAUUGCACAAUGGGCGCAAGCCUGAUGCAGCCAUGCCGCGUGUAUGAAGAAGGCCUUCGGGUUGUAAAGUACUUUCAGCGAGGAGGAAGGCGACAAGGUUAAUAACCUUGUCGAUUGACGUUACUCGCAGAAGAAGCACCGGCUAACUCCGUGCCAGCAGCCGCGGUAAUACGGAGGGUGCAAGCGUUAAUCGGAAUUACUGGGCGUAAAGCGCACGCAGGCGGUCUGUCAAGUCGGAUGUGAAAUCCCCGGGCUCAACCUGGGAACUGCAUCCGAAACUGGCAGGCUAGAGUCUUGUAGAGGGGGGUAGAAUUCCAGGUGUAGCGGUGAAAUGCGUAGAGAUCUGGAGGAAUACCGGUGGCGAAGGCGGCCCCCUGGACAAAGACUGACGCUCAGGUGCGAAAGCGUGGGGAGCGAACAGGAUUAGAUACCCUGGUAGUCC